CAGGAGCUUGUGAUUUGCCUGCCUGAUGGAGGCGGCCUCGAUGAGAGUAAUCUCUCGGCUGAAGAGAAGCUGAGGCGAGAGAGGUCAAGGGAGAGGGGAUUGGGAGUCACGAGGUACGAGUGGAAAUCGAGGUCGACGUCCUCUUCUUGCUCCGCUCUAGGGAAGCCCACUAUCAUGGUGCCAUUGCCAAAUGGGGUAUAUUUCUAGGAAAUAUCAGGCUUAUAGCCAUAGCUCAAGCUUACAUGUUGUGCUAGCUCGCCAAUUAUUGACCCGCAUCUAUCACCAGAUGGAAGCAUGCUUGCAUAUGUCAGGGAUGAUGAACUCCAUGUUUUAAACCCGUCUGGUGGGGAGCCUAAACAAUUAACUUUUGGAGCAAUUGCAAAUAGAAAGGUCACUGGAACCUGUUGGUAUACUCAUGUAUACCACAGCCCCGCCCCAGGCUGUUUGGGGAGUAUCAGAGCAGCAACACAAUAAGAAGGUUGAGGCGACCAUAAAGGAGUAUCAACUUGAAAUAUGAGAAUAAUCUUUA
This is a long non-coding RNA of Zingiber officinale, 529 nucleotides long. RefSeq lists it as uncharacterized. The record is from RefSeq and is a predicted model, not a curated record. The transcript has 4 exons. Lineage: Eukaryota; Viridiplantae; Streptophyta; Magnoliopsida; Zingiberales; Zingiberaceae.